RNAcentral lists this ribosomal RNA (2904 nucleotides) under Enterobacter cloacae. RNAcentral describes it as "23S ribosomal RNA". It matches the Rfam family "Bacterial large subunit ribosomal RNA". The record is from RNAcentral. Lineage: Bacteria; Pseudomonadati; Pseudomonadota; Gammaproteobacteria; Enterobacterales; Enterobacteriaceae.
GGUUAAGCGACUAAGCGUACACGGUGGAUGCCCUGGCAGUCAGAGGCGAUGAAGGACGUGCUAAUCUGCGAAAAGCGCCGGCGAGGUGAUAUGAACCCUUGACCCGGCGAUGUCCGAAUGGGGAAACCCAGUGUGAUUCGUCACACUAUCGUUAACUGAAUACAUAGGUUAACGAGGCGAACCGGGGGAACUGAAACAUCUAAGUACCCCGAGGAAAAGAAAUCAACCGAGAUUCCCCCAGUAGCGGCGAGCGAACGGGGAGCAGCCCAGAGUCUGAAUCAGCUUGUGUGUUAGUGGAAGCGUCUGGAAAGUCGCACGGUACAGGGUGAAAGUCCCGUACACGAAAGCACACAGGCUGUGAACUCGAAGAGUAGGGCGGGACACGUGGUAUCCUGUCUGAAUAUGGGGGGACCAUCCUCCAAGGCUAAAUACUCCUGACUGACCGAUAGUGAACCAGUACCGUGAGGGAAAGGCGAAAAGAACCCCGGCGAGGGGAGUGAAAAAGAACCUGAAACCGUGUACGUACAAGCAGUGGGAGCACCUUCGGGUGUGACUGCGUACCUUUUGUAUAAUGGGUCAGCGACUUAUAUUCUGUAGCAAGGUUAACCGUAUAGGGGAGCCGAAGGGAAACCGAGUCUUAACUGGGCGUUAAGUUGCAGGGUAUAGACCCGAAACCCGGUGAUCUAGCCAUGGGCAGGUUGAAGGUUGGGUAACACUAACUGGAGGACCGAACCGACUAAUGUUGAAAAAUUAGCGGAUGACCUGUGGCUGGGGGUGAAAGGCCAAUCAAACCGGGAGAUAGCUGGUUCUCCCCGAAAGCUAUUUAGGUAGCGCCUCGUGAACUCAUCUUCGGGGGUAGAGCACUGUUUCGGCUAGGGGGCCAUCCCGGCUUACCAACCCGAUGCAAACUACGAAUACCGAAGAAUGUUAUCACGGGAGACACACGGCGGGUGCUAACGUCCGUCGUGAAGAGGGAAACAACCCAGACCGCCAGCUAAGGUCCCAAAGUCAUGGUUAAGUGGGAAACGAUGUGGGAAGGCCCAGACAGCCAGGAUGUUGGCUUAGAAGCAGCCAUCAUUUAAAGAAAGCGUAAUAGCUCACUGGUCGAGUCGGCCUGCGCGGAAGAUGUAACGGGGCUAAACCAUGCACCGAAGCUGCGGCAGCGACGCUUAUGCGUUGUUGGGUAGGGGAGCGUUCUGUAAGCCGUUGAAGGUGGCCUGUGAGGGUUGCUGGAGGUAUCAGAAGUGCGAAUGCUGACAUAAGUAACGAUAAAGCGGGUGAAAAGCCCGCUCGCCGGAAGACCAAGGGUUCCUGUCCAACGUUAAUCGGGGCAGGGUGAGUCGACCCCUAAGGCGAGGCCGAAAGGCGUAGUCGAUGGGAAACAGGUUAAUAUUCCUGUACUUGGUGUUACUGCGAAGGGGGGACGGAGAAGGCUAUGUUAGCCGGGCGACGGUUGUCCCGGUUUAAGCAUGUAGGCGGAGGUUCCAGGUAAAUCCGGUACCUUUUAACGCUGAGGUGUGAUGACGAGGCACUACGGUGCUGAAGUAACAAAUGCCCUGCUUCCAGGAAAAGCCUCUAAGCAUCAGGUAACACGAAAUCGUACCCCAAACCGACACAGGUGGUCAGGUAGAGAAUACCAAGGCGCUUGAGAGAACUCGGGUGAAGGAACUAGGCAAAAUGGUGCCGUAACUUCGGGAGAAGGCACGCUGAUAUGUAGGUGAAGCCCCUGCGGGUGGAGCUGAAAUCAGUCGAAGAUACCAGCUGGCUGCAACUGUUUAUUAAAAACACAGCACUGUGCAAACACGAAAGUGGACGUAUACGGUGUGACGCCUGCCCGGUGCCGGAAGGUUAAUUGAUGGGGUUAGCGGCAACGCGAAGCUCUUGAUCGAAGCCCCGGUAAACGGCGGCCGUAACUAUAACGGUCCUAAGGUAGCGAAAUUCCUUGUCGGGUAAGUUCCGACCUGCACGAAUGGCGUAAUGAUGGCCAGGCUGUCUCCACCCGAGACUCAGUGAAAUUGAACUCGCUGUGAAGAUGCAGUGUACCCGCGGCAAGACGGAAAGACCCCGUGAACCUUUACUAUAGCUUGACACUGAACACUGGUCCUUGAUGUGUAGGAUAGGUGGGAGGCUUUGAAGCGUGGACGCCAGUCUGCGUGGAGCCGUCCUUGAAAUACCACCCUUUAAUGGCUGGUGUUCUAACGUAGACCCGUAAUCCGGGUUGCGGACAGUGUCUGGUGGGUAGUUUGACUGGGGCGGUCUCCUCCCAAAGAGUAACGGAGGAGCACGAAGGUUAGCUAAUCCUGGUCGGACAUCAGGAGGUUAGUGCAAUGGCAUAAGCUAGCUUGACUGCGAGAGUGACGGCUCGAGCAGGUGCGAAAGCAGGUCAUAGUGAUCCGGUGGUUCUGAAUGGAAGGGCCAUCGCUCAACGGAUAAAAGGUACUCCGGGGAUAACAGGCUGAUACCGCCCAAGAGUUCAUAUCGACGGCGGUGUUUGGCACCUCGAUGUCGGCUCAUCACAUCCUGGGGCUGAAGUAGGUCCCAAGGGUAUGGCUGUUCGCCAUUUAAAGUGGUACGCGAGCUGGGUUUAGAACGUCGUGAGACAGUUCGGUCCCUAUCUGCCGUGGGCGCUGGAGAAUUGAGGGGGGCUGCUCCUAGUACGAGAGGACCGGAGUGGACGCAUCACUGGUGUUCGGGUUGUCAUGCCAAUGGCACUGCCCGGUAGCUAAAUGCGGAAGAGAUAAGUGCUGAAAGCAUCUAAGCACGAAACUUGCCCCGAGAUGAGUUCUCCCUGAGACUUAAAGUCUCCUGAAGGAACGUUGAAGACGACGACGUUGAUAGGUCGGGUGUGUAAGCGCAGCGAUGCGUUGAGCUAACCGAUACUAAUGAACCGUGAGGCUUAACCUU